Molecule: ribosomal RNA, 566 nt
Filed under: fungal sp.
Lineage: Eukaryota; Fungi
Description: eukaryotic LSU rRNA
Rfam family: 5.8S ribosomal RNA (bases 35-188)
Source: RNAcentral
UGUCAAAUCUGAAUCAAACUAAGAAAUAAGUUAAAACUUUCAACAACGGAUCUCUUGGUUCUGGCAUCGAUGAAGAACGCAGCGAAAUGCGAUAAGUAAUGUGAAUUGCAGAAUUCAGUGAAUCAUCGAAUCUUUGAACGCACAUUGCGCCCAUUAGUAUUCUAGUGGGCAUGCCUGUUCGAGCGUCAUUUCAACCCUUAAGCCUAGCUUAGUGUUGGGAGACUGCCUAAUACGCAGCUCCUCAAAACCAGUGGCGGAGUCUGUUCGUGCUCUGAGCGUAGUAAUUUUUUAUCUCGCUUCUGCAAGCCGGCCAGACGACAGCCAUAAACCGCACCCUCUCGGGGGGCACUUUUUUAAUGGUUGACCUCGGAUCAGGUAGGAAUACCCGCUGAACUUAAGCAUAUCAAUAAGCGGAGGAAAAGAAACCAACAGGGAUUGCCCUAGUAACGGCGAGUGAAGCGGCAACAGCUCAAAUUUGAAAUCUGGCCUUCUGGUCCGAAUUGUAAUUUGUAGAGGAUGCUUUUUGGUUAGGUACCCUUUCGAGUUCCUUGGAACAGGACGCCUUA